Molecule: long non-coding RNA, 590 nt
Organism: Sardina pilchardus (European sardine)
Lineage: Eukaryota; Metazoa; Chordata; Actinopteri; Clupeiformes; Clupeidae
Exons: 4
Source: RefSeq, a predicted model, not a curated record
GUCUUCACAGACAAGGAGUUUUGUAACUCUUGUCAAGUGUCUAUAAAGUGGGCUUUGAUGGUUCUGGGGUGUCUGGCAUUCUUGAAUGGGAAAUAGUGUUAGGUUGCAAGGCAAUGUGUGGAUGACCCAUGGGCUGUCAAUGCAGUAUUGGUGAUCGAAGACCGAUCCUUCCCCCUCCAGAAGAGUCAUCUCACUAUUCCACAGCAAUGUAUGGAUAACCCCAAAGCUGUCGGUGCAGUAAUGGUGAUUGAGGAUAGAUCCUUCCCCCUCAAGAUGAUGUCUUUAUGCCGAUUUUGAUGCUCCCUCCACCACGCCUCUAGCCAGCACCGCUAGCAGUCCAUGUGCCGUCAGCCGCAGUAUGCCAGCUGCAUCUUCUCCCUUUUAGCCACCACCACCACUUGGUCCCCGGCUCGAUGCAUGGGGGGCAGGCUCCUCGCCCCUGCCUCUACCAUCGGCAGGAAUUGAGAUCCACUCAUCACAGGACGGAUCAGAGACUGGGCCUAUGCCAAGGAUUGUUGUUUAUUCAGAACUCUUUCAUAUACUUGUAUCAAAGCUAUUCUUUCUCAAAUUAAAUUGCUAUCUGCUUUUAA